UACAUUUACAGAGCAAAAAAAUUUUAAUCGUAACAAUAAGUUGUGUUUGGAACAUUAUAAUGUAUACGGUAGCGAUCUUAGGAUGGUAAAUAAUAGAAGUCAUUAAAAAUAACUUCGUUGCACCACAUAUACAGUAGGCUAAUAGCAAAAUAGCUAUAAUUCAUUCUGUCGCAAAUAAGGUAACUAAUCAUGCAAGAUUCAGGGAAAUGCAAGAUUUCAGUAGUGAUAUGUUACCUAUAUUACACUAGCUCGCAACUAUUAAGCCAAUUUUAGUCAACAUAAUCAGACGAAGAACAGUGUUGCCAGAUUGGUUUGUUUUCCAGCCCAGUAAUUAUUUAAAAUCCACACAAAAUUAUACAAUAAACGGUCAGAUAUUAUCUAUAAUAAAACAAUACAACUUAAUUCAUAACAGCAUCAAUUGGGAAUCAUGUUUUAAUAUGAAAUUAUGAAUAAUUUAAUUGCUCUUUCAGAGAUUACAUAGGAGCCUACAAUUUACAUUGCAACUGUAAAAUUAUUUUCCAUUUCUGUCCUCUCCCUAAUAAUUUAAAAAUUCCACCUGCCCAAACCCUUUUUAUUGCACAUAGUAGCCUACAACCCAAAACCAACCAAAUGGGUGCAAAACUUCCCGUUUUACCAGACUGAUGAAGAAUACUGGUGAAAAUGUAAUAUGUAUUAAUCAAAAAGUUUUUUUCUCUCUCAUCAGGUCCUUUUAGUAUGUUUACCUUUGUAUUUGUUUUGUCUGGUCAUCUUUGUCUAUCUGUUUGUAUUUGUGCAUAUUUAGUCAUGACAAGGCCCAUAUCUGGUAAGCAGGAAAACUUUCCAUGUCUGCUUUGCAAGCUUGUCCACCAAAAAAAGUCAGGUCACUGGAUAGCCAGUGGGGGAAAUCUGUCCUUAAAAGCAGAAAUGCUGGGCGUAUAAUUAAUUCUGCCUGUAUUGCAGUAAGUGAAAGUGUUCAUAUUUCAAAUGAAGUGCGCAUGUUUUUCACAUAAUAUAAGACUAGCACUAGGGAUGCACCGAUACCACUUUUUAGGAAUAUGAGUACGAGUAUUUGCAUUUUAGUACUUGCUGAUACCGAUACCGAGUACUUAAUAAUAAUAAUAAAAUAAUAAAAAAAAACAUGAUUUAAAUUUACAGGUAACAGCUUUAGUCAUAUACUUUAACAAAAAAACAAGGGACUAGUUUUACAGUUUGUUGUAAACUCUGCCUCUUUGGACAACACAAGAGGCAUUAACCCCUAACACGCUGCUCAAACAUAGACAUUUCUCAGACCGUGGUAUCGAUCCAUGGUAUGGGGGGACUUUAAACGAGUACUUUAGAAAAUGUGGUAUUGAGGCCGAUACCAGUAUUGGUAUCGGUGCAUCCCUAACCAAUAUGGUCUGGCUUUUACAAACAUAGGCUUAUUUCAUACAUGGAAGAAUCCAUAUUUAGCUAAAUUGUGUUGAAGAGUAUCAAUAAGUUGUGUUCGCUGUCAAGUAUUAAGAAAGUUAUAAUGUCAAUGGGAGAAUGAGUCUGGAAUUAACCAUUGAUUGUAUACACCUUAUUUUUGAUGUAAAUGUUUGUGCCGCCAUCUUUAUGGUAUCGUAUUGCAAGGGACACGAGUGUGCUGUUUUGACUGUCUUUUUAAUGUUUAUUAUGAAAUUCAGGAAGACCGGUAUAAUUUUUACAGUUAGGGGUUGCCAUAAUAGCUGAUACAAACACAGUAAAUCUCUACAAAACAUAAUAUGUUGUGUAUGUAUGUGGCACACGUGCACUCAUGAUCUUUAUCCACACAUCCAUCCAGUAAAACCUUUCAUAGUGCUAGUGAACAAUAAACACAAUAAUUGUUCAAAAACAACUUCGAAAAUAAGGUUACAGUUCAAAAGUCAUAUGUUUUAUAAAAGAAUCUUUUAUGGUUACAGCUCAUUUACUUUUUCAUUUCAGGUGCGGAAACUUGAGGCUGUCGGAUACAAGUCAAUUGUAUUUACUGGGAAACGGGAUAAAAAGGACCUGCCGGAGAGCCUCGCCGUGGAGCUGCCGGAGAGCAUCGUCAUGGAACGGCCGGAGAAUCUCAACAAGGAGUCUUGAGGCUGUUGUCGAUAAAAUAACUGUGGAAUUGAUAAAUAAGGGGAAAGCUGAAUUGGAAGUUCACUGGUGACCGUGCUCUGUGUGUGGCAAAACCUGGGAUGACACAUGGGAGACUGCCAGCGAAUUCCAACACAAGUCCCACAUCCCAACCAGCUUUCAGCAUGACGGCCUACACCUUUUUAUUAUUAUCAAGCACCUUUCAAUUCUUUUUGAUUGUCUUUGCUUGCUGUUCUUUAUUAAAGUUUUUGCACAGUACCCAGUCUCUUUUAGUGUUUUUUGUUUUUAUGUUUUGAAUUUUGUAUUUUAAAAACUCUGUAUUUGUCAUGAACUACACAGCAGACAAGAGGUGUCCCAUGCAAGAUCAUAAGGUAGAGAGUUAGUGCUGUUUGUCAUAAUGAAAUUCCCAAAGGCUUUAUAUUUAAAGAGUUUUGGAGUGCAGUUUUAGUACAGGUAAGUCUACUUGAACUAUGAUAUGCCAGCCAGGAAUAAGUACCACAAAAACUAUUUUAAAAAGCUAUUUAAAUCCCCCUUAAAUUUUGUAGUCCUGAUUGAA
Non-coding RNA from Misgurnus anguillicaudatus (oriental weatherfish), 2617 nucleotides. The record is from RefSeq and is a predicted model, not a curated record. NCBI's taxonomy places the organism in Eukaryota, Metazoa, Chordata, Actinopteri, Cypriniformes, Cobitidae.